Molecule: long non-coding RNA, 1788 nt
Organism: Callithrix jacchus (white-tufted-ear marmoset)
Lineage: Eukaryota; Metazoa; Chordata; Mammalia; Primates; Cebidae
Source: Ensembl
CCAAACCUAAUUUUAUCCUUUAAAACACCACAGCCUAGUAGAGUGAAUCCUCAUUUAAACUAAUAAAUGGCCAUAGAUGCAAAAUACUAUUAGAAUGAAUCAGAAUUUUACAGUAAAAGCAGUGUAAGAAACCAUUUUUUUAAAGGUAAAAUGACGCUAGAAAUAGAGGAUUCACUUUUGGAAGGCUUCAUAAUAUUGAAAAUAUGACCCUUGCCCCUUUCAAUUUGAAGAUAAGCUAAUAGGUUCACUCUGUACCUAAGAGCUGCAAGCACAACAGCCAACAGAUACUUCCUAUGCUCUCUUUUGUUAGGGGAUUAACUCAGAAGCAAUUCUUUGUAUGUGAAGCUUUUUCUCUCCCCCACUGCAAUAAAGGAGGAAUAAAAAGGAAGCUGUGUUUCUUUCUCGGAUUUCGGUUUUCUCAGCCCGGGUCUCAUCUUCAUGCAUUGCUGAACAAGGCUGAUUUGGUGAAGAGUUAAUACUACAAAGCAGCUGAAGGAAAGACUCCUUUGCAAGGGAACAAAUCACAAGACAAGAUGAAGAUCCUAGUCCUGACUAUGACCAUCUUAGAUUUUAUGGUUUACUUCCUGGCAGACUCCAAAGCAACUCAGAGUCUUGAACACGUCUUCCCAUCCACUGGCAGAUCUAAACCAUUCUUUGCCCCUAAUCUUGCUACAUACAUCCAAAAUGCCAAAAACAAGUUCACUCCCUCAGCAGAUGAGAAUACCAUUGCCAAAUCAAAUAAAACAACCUCCUUGGAACUAGUACCACUACUCAUAAAGAAGAGGCAGGACCAGACGGUCAUAAUCACUGAAUAUCACACUCUUCUUAUGAUUCUUGUUAGCAAUUCAAGGACAUAAAUCUUCAUUCUUCUCCGGUGCAGACAACUUAAAUGGGUCUGUUUUCACUUUGCUGAAUUUCUUCAAUAAAUCUUUUUGGCAAGCAACUAAUUUACUGUAUGUAGGUGUGUUUGAUAUUCUAGUACAGACUUCUUAAAUUAGGAAAAAUAAAGAGAAACAAAAAUCCAUUGUUUGUUUAAAGAAUAACAUAACUCUCAACGAGACAGAAAAUUGAUAACAAUAUCCGGGAUUGGAACUAAGAUCCAGAACAAAUAAACUCAAUAGGGCUCUCCAUUUUAAACACACAAAAUAUACAUUAUCCACAAAAUCUAACGAUAUAUCUAAAGAUAUACAAAGACUCAAAACAAGGGGAUGGAAAAAAGCUCACCAACCAAAUGGAGAGCAAAAAUAAAUAAAUAAAAAGCAGGAGUUGCAAUUCUCACACUUAAUAAAAUAGAUUUCAAAGCUACAAGGAUGCAAGGGUAAAAGGAUUAAUACAACAAUAAGAGAUCUUAACACCCAGAUACAUAAGACACAUAAUGAGAUUUAGAUUCAACGAGACAACAAAUUGAUAAGAUAUCCAGGACUUGAACUCAGAACCAGAACAAAUAAACACAACAGAGGUCUCCAUUUUAAACACAUAAAAUAUGGAUUAACCACUUUAAACACUCAAAAUAUUGAUCGGCCAUUAUUGAAACCCAUUUUAGGAAUGAAGUAAUAUUCCUUUUUCCCUCUUUUUCUUUUUUUCCCCUUCUUUUUCUCUUUUUCCCUCAAAAAAAAAAAUGCUAAAAUAAUAGAAUAAAAAAAAAAAAGAAUAACAUAACUCUAAUCAUCAGAAGUAGAAUUAUUCAAUAGAGAUUCAUAAUUGUAUUACAUUAAAAAAAGAAAUAAAAACAAUGCCAAAACACUAAGUGAAUGAAAGACAUUAUGUAUGGGGGGCUUGUAUAGGAAU